RNAcentral lists this ribosomal RNA (1008 nucleotides) under Triticum aestivum (bread wheat). RNAcentral's name for it is "partial small subunit ribosomal RNA". Lineage: Eukaryota; Viridiplantae; Streptophyta; Magnoliopsida; Poales; Poaceae. The record is from RNAcentral.
AUGGACAGCUCCGCAACACUGGAAAAUUCAACGUCCCGUCACACUGGAAACGGGCCCCCAAAAGAGGCAGGCCCCACACGGACGUGGGCCAAGAUAGCGGGCCCUGACAGGCGGGGCCCAAAUGGGGAAGAGACAGACGUGUUCGCCUUUUUAUCGCGAGACCUCGUCUCCUCCCCCUUUCGCAUCCUUUUCAUUCAAAACAGGCAGGGCAGGGAGAGGGGAGGAGGUGGAGGCGCCGAGCGAAGGAAAAAAAAAUCGAGUGCACUCGUCGGCGGCGCGGCGCGGCGCGGCGGCCGCCUCCUCUGCUCGUCCGAUCGAGCUCCGGUUCGUCGGGUGAGCGCGUCUCAGGUCGAUUCGGGAGCUGAAGGGAGCAUGAGUACUGCCAACGGCACACGACGUGCCUCAAGAAGGCAAUCACAAGAUGCUGAUAAGGUUGUCGUGAACUUGGUCUCAACCCCCCCAGCGGCGGGCAGCCGUCGUGGAGUAUCAACAUCUAACGCUGGCGCGCGCACCUCACCCAUUGACGUGGAAGCCCUCGAGGAUGAAGUGCAGGUCGUAUCAGCUUCACAAGUGCCUCCUCAGAGGAGGAACCGCAGAACUAGGAGGCAGCCUGUGACUGUAGUUGAUCUAGAUGUACAUGCUACCCGGCAAGGAGUGUCUCAUGAUGAUAAUGCAACAGUGCUUUCUCAUAACACAAGGAACAAACGCCCAAGAGUUUCCCCUGUAAUAAACAUCUCUCCUGAAACAGGAGAAGGGUCCAGCUUACAGUCAAAAAAUGCGGGGAAAACUAGCAAAGAGCCUCUGGAUGUGGCUCCAAAGGAACCCAUCUUCACCUGCCCGGUGUGUUGGAACAAGUUGGAUGAGCCCGCCACAACAAUGUGCGGCCACAUCUUCUGCACUAACUGCAUAAAGCAAGCCAUCCAGUUCCAGAAGAAAUGUCCUACCUGCCGGAAGCACCUGAAGAUGAACAAUUUCCAUCGCAUUUACCUUCCUAACACCUCCCGUUAA